CGGCGGCGACGGGUAUUUAAACACCGCCUUUUGAAAUAUACAGAGUUGCAGAGCGAAGUGCAGCAAAGGAAAUGAAAAAAAUAUUCCAAAUAAGAGGAGGAUGAGGAUGAGAAGAAAUAAAAAUACCCAAAGAGGAGAGCGAUGAUCCUUUUGCCAUUUUUAAAAAAGUUAUUAAAGGCCGCCUGAAGGGGAGGAGGCCUUUGCAGCAGGCAUGCAAGGAGUAACCUCACCCCACCCCCCUUCCCGGUUCAAUAUCCCUUGUGAGCGACUACUAAAGCAAUCUAGCUGAGAAAGAGGAGGACGUGAGCUAGCGAAACAGAAAGGGCUGGAGCUGAUGAUGAAACAGAGCCACGGCCCUGCGUGAGCAGAAGGCUAGUUUUCAUCAUACCAUCGCAGCCCCCCACCGCACAAAAACAACAGAGAAACCACCACCACCCCAGCAAGUUUGGAAAGGGGAGGGAGGGGUGCUGAGAACUCCUAUGGCGAACUUAUGGUCGAUCGAUGCUUAAGAAUGUUGCGCAAGAGACGUUGUAUCGCUGCUGGAUAAAGCUUCUUUCACCUUGGAACGAAAUCUACAUUUCACUUCUAUCUAGCAUGGGGCAAUGCUCACAAAACAAUGUGCUUGCCAAGAAUUCUUCUGCCUUUCUACAGAGAAAUCACAGUGCAGAUUUUGGGCCGGGCCGCAGCGGAGGAAGAGAGAGGAAAAAUGCUCAAAACAGCUAAAUUACGCUCCAGACCCCCGCUGAAAAGCGGAACUCAUUGAAUCGAAUGGUGCGUGAUGCCCGAAAACAGCCGUAAAAGCGGAACAAGCACCAUAUGAGUGGGGCUUUAGUCUAAUUGCAUCUGACUGAGACUGCUGCAUUAGUGAAGUGCUGUAAAGCGGGGUACUGUACAUGAAAAACCACACUGUAAAAGAAAAAAAUGGCUCAUCUGAUGUCAUGG
Molecule: long non-coding RNA, 942 nt
Organism: Rhineura floridana
Lineage: Eukaryota; Metazoa; Chordata; Lepidosauria; Squamata; Rhineuridae
Exons: 4
Source: RefSeq, a predicted model, not a curated record